AAAAACAUGUCUUUUUGUUAAUAAUUUAAAGUCUAAUCCUGCCCACUGAAAAUUUUUAAAGGGCUGCAGUAUAUUGACUGUACAAAGGUAGCAUAAUCAAUAGUNUUUUAAUUGAAGACUUGUAUGAAUGAUUUGAUGAGAUAUAAACUGUCUUUUUUUUAAUUAUAGAAUUUAAUUUUUUAGUUAAAAAGCUAAAAUUUUUUUAAAAGACGAGAAGACCCUAUAGAGUUUAAUUUUUUUAAUUUUUAUUAAUAUUUUAAAAAAAUUAUGAUUAAUAAAAAUUAAAAAAUUUUGUUGGGGUGAUAGAAAAAUUUAUAAAACUUUUUUUAAAAAAAUUAACAUUGAUUUAUGAUUUAUUGAUCCAUAAAUUAUGAUUAAAAGAUUAAAUUACCUUAGGGAUAACAGCGUAAUUUUUUUUUUUAGUUUAAAUAAAAAUUAAAGUUUGCGACCUCGAUGUUGGAUUAAGAUAAAAUUUAAAUACAAAAGUUAAA
This 491-nucleotide ribosomal RNA is filed under the name Delias eucharis. RNAcentral's name for it is "partial 16S ribosomal RNA". Lineage: Eukaryota; Metazoa; Arthropoda; Insecta; Lepidoptera; Pieridae. The record is from RNAcentral.